UUAUAGGUAGAAAAAGGUAGAAAAAAUGAGCAAGGAGGAGAAGUGAAAGUGUUAUAGUAAGGGUGGUACACAGAAGAGAUAUUGAAAUAAGGAAGUGAGAUGACCUCUGUAUAUUCUAGUGUCGGAAAUACAAGCGGUAAGCCAAAAGUUGCCAGUAAAGUAGAAAGAUGUGGGAUCUCAUUUGGAAAGAAAGCAGAUAAAAUCCUGUGGAAGGAGCAUGUCACAAGAAAAAGAAGGUAGAAAAAAUGAGAAAGGAGGAGAAGUGAAAGUGUUAUAGUAAGGGUGGUACACAGAAGAGAUAUUGAAAUAAGGAAGUGAGAUGACCUCUGUAUAUUCUAGUGUCGGAAAUACAAGCGGUAAGCCAAAAGUUGCCAGUAAAGUAGAAAGAUGUGGGAUCUCAUUUGGAAAGAAAGCAGAUAAAAUCCUGUGGAAGGAGCAUGUCACAAGAAAAAGAAGGUAGAAAAAAUGAGAAAGGAGGAGAAGUGAAAGUGUUAUAGUAAGGGUGGUACACAGAAGAGAUAUUGAAAUAAGGAAGUGAGAUGACCUCUGUAUAUUCUAGUGUCGGAAAUACAAGCGGUAAGCCAAAAGUUGCCAGUAAAGUAGAAAGAUGUGGGAUCUCAUUUGGAAAGAAAGCAGAUAAAAUCCUGUGGAAGGAGCAUGUCACAAGAAAAAGAAGGUAGAAAAAAUGAGAAAGGAGGAGAAGUGAAAGUGUUAUAGUAAGGGUGGUACACAGAAGAGAUAUUGAAAUAAGGAAGUGAGAUGACCUCUGUAUAUUCUAGUGUCGGAAAUACAAGCGGUAAGCCAAAAGUUGCCAGUAAAGUAGAAAGAUGUGGGAUCUCAUUUGGAAAGAAAGCAGAUAAAAUCCUGUGGAAGGAGCAUGUCACAAGAAAAAGAAGGUAGAAAAAAUGAGAAAGGAGGAGAAGUGAAAGUGUUAUAGUAAGGGUGGUACACAGAAGAGAUAUUGAAAUAAGGAAGUGAGAUGACCUCUGUUUAUUCUAGUGUCGGAAAUACAAGCGGUAAGCCAAAAGUUGCCAGUAAAGUAGAAAGAUGUGGGAUCUCAUUUGGAAAGAAAGCAGAUAAAAUCCUGUGGAAGGAGCAUGUCACAAGAAAAAGAAGGUAGAAAAAAUGAGAAAGGAGGAGAAGUGAAAGUGUUAUAGUAAGGGUGGUACACAGAAGAGAUAUUGAAAUAAGGAAGUGAGAUGACCUCUGUAUAUUCUAGUGUCGGAAAUACAAGCGGUAAGCCAAAAGUUGCCAGUAAAGUAGAAAGAUGUGGGAUCUCAUUUGGAAAGAAAGCAGAUAAAAUCCUGUGGAAGGAGCAUGUCACAAGAAAAAGAAGGUAGAAAAAAUGAGAAAGGAGGAGAAGUGAAAGUGUUAUAGUAAGGGUGGUACACAGAAGAGAUAUUGAAAUAAGGAAGUGAGAUGACCUCUGUUUAUUCUAGUGUCGGAAAUACAAGCGGUAAGCCAAAAGUUGCCAGUAAAGUAGAAAGAUGUGGGAUCUCAUUUGGAAAGAAAGCAGAUAAAAUCCUGUGGAAGGAGCAUGUCACAAUGUCGGAAAUACAAGCGGUAAGCCAAAAGUUGCCAGUAAAGUAGAAAGAUGUGGGAUCUCAUUUGGAAAGAAAGCAGAUAAAAUCCUGUGGAAGGAGCAUGUCACAAGAAAAAGAAGGUAGAAAAAAUGAGAAAGGAGGAGAAGUGAAAGUGUUAUAGUAAGGGUGGUACACAGAAGAGAUAUUGAAAUAAGGAAGUGAGAUGACCUCUGUAUAUUCUAGUGUCGGAAAUACAAGCGGUAAGCCAAAAGUUGCCAGUAAAGUAGAAAGAUGUGGGAUCUCAUUUGGAAAGAAAGCAGAUAAAAUCCUGUGGAAGGAGCAUGUCACAAGAAAAAGAAGGUAGAAAAAAUGAGCAAGGAGGAGAAGUGAAAGUGUUAUAGUAAGGGUGGUACACAGAAGAGAUAUUGAAAUAAGGAAGUGAGAUGACCUCUGUAUAUUCUAGUGUCGGAAAUACAAGCGGUAAGCCAAAAGUUGCCAGUAAAGUAGAAAGAUGUGGGAUCUCAUUUGGAAAGAAAGCAGAUAAAAUCCUGUGGAAGGAGCAUGUCACAAG
RNAcentral lists this long non-coding RNA (2094 nucleotides) under Homalodisca vitripennis (glassy-winged sharpshooter). RNAcentral describes it as "uncharacterized LOC124368716, transcript variant X1". The record is from RNAcentral. Lineage: Eukaryota; Metazoa; Arthropoda; Insecta; Hemiptera; Cicadellidae.